Molecule: ribosomal RNA, 254 nt
Filed under: uncultured bacterium
Lineage: Bacteria
Description: partial 16S ribosomal RNA
Rfam family: Bacterial small subunit ribosomal RNA
Source: RNAcentral
UACGAAGGGGGCUAGCGUUGUUCGGAAUCACUGGGCGUAAAGCGCACGUAGGCGGAUCUUUUAAGUCAGAGGUGAAAUCCCAAGGCUCAACCUUGGAACUGCCUUUGAUACUGGGGAUCUUGAGUCCGGGAGAGGUGAGUGGAACUGCGAGUGUAGAGGUGAAAUUCGUAGAUAUUCGCAAGAACACCAGUGGCGAAGGCGGCCCGCUGGGCAGUGGCUGACGCUGAGGCGCGACAGCGUGGGGAGCAAACAGG